This is a non-coding RNA of Schistosoma curassoni, 45 nucleotides long. Lineage: Eukaryota; Metazoa; Platyhelminthes; Trematoda; Strigeidida; Schistosomatidae. The record is from Rfam.
AUCCAGAUGACGCGUCUCAAAAAGGACGAGAGGCGCGUCCUGGAU